CUCUAGUACUCUUGCCUGGAGAAUUCCAUGGACAGAGCACAAUAAAUAGAAUGUACUUGAAUCAUCCCAAAACCAUCCCCCUCCGCCUGAUCUGUGGAAAAGUUGUCUUCCACGAAACCGGUCCCUGGGGUCAAAAGUUUGGGGACCACUGCAUAGCAUAUAAUUUCCUCCAGAAAUUACAGCAGGGUAUAAGUGAGAAUGUUAGGAGUUCCUUCUGUCCCCUGAGGAGAGUUUAUAUCCCUGUCCAAAUACACCAAGUUGCUUUGAAAUUGAACAGUGGACUCAGCUCAAUGACUAUUUCCCACGGAUUAGCCUCACAAAGAGGAAAUUCAAAUUUGAGCUUCCAGAAAAUGAAAGACUUGAAUUUCAUGGGUGCUGAAGUUUGGGCAGAUUCAUCAAAAUUGCAUGUUCUUAACCUGUGAGCGUCAGGUGUCAGCUGUGAUGAGUCCUUGGUGUGGUUUUUUGAACUCCAGUAUGCCAGGCAUUGUACUGCGAGCUUGACAGCCACUGUGGAGUUAGCCAAGAUCGUGGCCCUGCCGUGAUCUUGUGUUGUGCAGGGCCGCCAAGGGCCAACUCCAUCUGUGCAGAGGACCUGGACUCCACUCUUGCCCAUUUGGGGCUCCUGCCAGGAAUCCUUGACACUGGAGAUGCAUCUGAUUGAUUCUGGGAUUGGGAAAAGGGAUUGAAGCAGAAUCCCUUCAGCAGUGGGAAGAACAAAAGUCAUGGGAACUGGGUUGUGGAAACAGCAGGAGGAGGCGAGGACUUUUGUUUGAAGGGAAAGAACUGGAGAGUCCUGUCAGAGGCACCUGGGUCCAAUUAUCCAGGGCCCCAUCUACCUAGAAGAAAAAACUGCAUUUGACUCUCCCAGACUGACUGCACUCUCACCAGACUCUCAUCCUCUUUCUCACAUGAACUUAAAGGAAUGCAAGUGGUAGAGGGGACCAUGGCUGUUGAAAUACACCCUCUAGGAUUUCAUCACUGUUUCAUGUGUUAAAACAGCCUUAAGUUUGAUCAUCAGCAACUUACUCCUCUGCACAGGUUGUCCUGGUAAAAGAAUGAGAUGCUUAUUUUUUUCCCAACUUCACUGAGAUGCAACUGACAUAUAGCAAUGGGAGUUCAUGGUUUCCAGUCUUACUUUUAAGUCCCUAAGCCAUUUCCAGUCUGUACAGUCAUCCAAACUGGAUAAUUCAAUCAACUCUCCACUUGGAGCCUCGUAUUUGAUGAUCUCAUUGUUGUGGAAAUCUGAGAGAUGAAAAUAUAUAUUGGAGUCAAGAGAGGAGUGUUUUGCAAUACCAACCAAAAGCCUUUAAAAUGUUCUGUCGGUCCAAAAUUUCUACUCAUAGAAAUUCACCUUUAAUAAUCAGAAUUAUUAAUGAAGAUUUAUAAUAAGAUGUUUAUUCAGCUGUGGUGCAUGAUCAUAAUAAAAAUAGAAAUAACCUAAAAAUAUGACAUUAGGAGGAUGGUUGAAUAAGUAACCUCUCUUUGAAUGGCACACAGAUAUUUAAGUUGAACUUUGGAGAUGAUUUAAUGACUUGGGAAAAAUAAUCACAUUUGAAUGUUAAGUUUGAAAAGGAGGAUCACAACUUGUGUAUAUAGUAAACAUGGUUUUACAAAAUAUGAAAGUACCAAAUGUAUAGUGAAGAAACUGACCCCUAAAUUACCAAAGCAUAAGAAAAGAACACAAUAUACUAAAUAAAGGUAUAAAUUUAUUGUUGUUGUUUAGUCAUUCGGUCAUGUCCAACUCUUUGCAAGCCUGUGGACUGUAGCAUGCCAGGCUUCCCUGUCCUUCCCUGUCUCCCAGAGUUUGCUCACAUUUAUGUCCAUUGAGUCAGUGAUGCUAUCUAACCAUCUCAUCCUCUGCCAUCCUCUUCUCCUUUUGCCUUUCCC
This is a long non-coding RNA of Bos taurus (domestic cattle), 1887 nucleotides long. The record is from Ensembl. Lineage: Eukaryota; Metazoa; Chordata; Mammalia; Artiodactyla; Bovidae.